CGAACAUAUUAGCGAAUAUGGUAUAUCCAAAAAAGUGCUAUAACUCAUUUGUAAAACUUAUCGAAGAUAUAAAAUCUGAAAAAGAGCUGACCACGGAUGACAAAAAAAAAACAGCCACAUCCGAAAAAGGCAUUUGCGGAAAAACCAACCAAGUUUUAAACAAACAUAGUGUUAAUAAGAAAAAAGAAAACAGAAGUACUUUUGUAACAAAAUGUCAAUACACAAAUCAAAUACUAUUAAUAUAUAACACUCAGUUUAUAAAAAUAAGUCUACAAAAUAAUGUAUUUAUUCUUUUAACUUCUUUAGGAAAACAAUUAUUUUUGAAUAAUCAGUUACUAGCUAAUGAACAAAAAACAAAAAAAAAAAAAAAAAUUUUCCCAUUUUUAAAUAAACAUUUUAUUAUAUAUAAUAAAAACAAUUAUGGUAAAAACAAUUAUGGUAAAAAUAAUUAUAAUAAAAAUUCAAAUAUAAAUAAACGUAUAUAUGCUGUGGUAAUACAAGUAAAAUUAGUGGAAAAUAUUCAGACAUCAGAUAUAAAUGACAAAUAUGUGUCUGAUAUAUUUUAUUUAUGUCAAUAUUAUAAACACAAACAUAAUUGUAACUUAAAAUAUUUAAUUACAUAUGAUUUUAUAAAUAAUGCUUUAAAAGAAUAUGAAAUUGUAAUUAUAAAUUUUAGUGAAUGUAUAUGGAAUUUUGAAUUUACAAAAGAAGAAAUUAAAAGUAAAUUAAAGUGUUUGCAACAGUCUUCUCCUUCUCCUCCUCUUUCUCCCUCUUCUCUCCCUUCUUGUUGUUUAUGUUUUGUUUUAUUUUAUAAUUUAUUAACAUUUGAAUAUAAGUCAUAUGUAGAUAAACUAAUUAAAAAAUUAAAAAAAAGGAAAAUAAUUAGUAGUACUUUUUUUUUUGUUGAAAAUAGAUAUACUAUACAGGAAGGUGUGACAUUUACUGGUAUUAGUAAUUUGAAUGAAUAUAACAAGAACAUAGAUGGGAGUAAUAAUAUUAUUCGUAAAUAUAGUAAUGAUAAAAAUGGAAUGAUCGAAGAAAAGUAUCUUAUACAAACAGAAAACGUGAUAAAAGUUAAUAACAACACAGAAGAUAUGUUGUCAUUUUAUGAAAAUAAAAAUAUAAGUAAAACAUUUUUACAAACAAUUUAUUCUAUUUUUAAUUUAUUAAAAGAAGAAAAUAAUUAUUUUUUAGAUUGUUAUAAUUUAGAAAAUUAUACACGUAUUUUUAUUUAUGAUUGUGAAAAAUUAAAAAGAAGUAUGUUUAUACAUUUUUUAAAAAAAAUAAAUAAUUUUUAUUUUAAAAUAAUAAAUUUAAAUACAAUGUUUGGUACUUAUUUUAGCGAAACUGAACAAAAUUUUAUACGUAUUUUUAAAAAGUGUCAUAAAAUUAUAAAUAAUAGUAAUAAAAAUGUUUGUCUUGUAAUUGAUGGUAUAGAUAUAAUAAAAAAUAAUAUACCUAUGGACAAAACUUAUACAGAUAAGUUUAAUGAAUAUAAUACAGGUAGUACUAAUUCUUACAGUAAUGAUAACAGUAGGUUGCUAACGACUUUAUUACUAUGCCUAGACAGUAUAGAUAACAGUACGAUAAGAAAAAAAAA
Molecule: long non-coding RNA, 1600 nt
Organism: Piliocolobus tephrosceles (Ugandan red Colobus)
Lineage: Eukaryota; Metazoa; Chordata; Mammalia; Primates; Cercopithecidae
Source: Ensembl